GGCUGGAAAACUGGACCAGUCUACUGCCCACCCAGUCGAGAUCCUCUCCAGGACAAGAGUUGUUGUUGGUAGCAAAACAAAGAAGAGCUUCAGAAUUGUGUCUUGUCAUCUUGCAGAGGCGCUGAUGCCAGUCUAUGUACGGACAGCUGCUCCCUUAAGGAUUUGAGACAUGCUUCAAGAUUGCAUGCUGAGAUCAAUCUCUGCACUCCAGGCAAUAGAAUGGAGGACUGUGGGGACGAGGAGCCUCAAAAUAGGAAAUGAAAAUGAGCCUCGUGUUUCCCAAAAUCUCUUUUUGUACAGUUUGCCGCCUGCAUUCUCCUCAGCCUUUAUUUUGAAAAUCCACCAGAAUGUUUACAGUAAGAAUGAAUGACAAGACAAAGUGUUUCUGCCAGAGAGCCUCUGCAUCAACACUGCACAGUUUAUUAUGUGGAUUAGAGGACCAGUUGAGUAAUUUCCUCUGCGUGGGUUUUGUUUGUGGCUGCUCUGUUGACAAAGCUUUGAUCAAACACAGUACAUAGAUUCCUUAAUGCGCUGUGCACAUACGGAGACGCUGCUGCAGGUUUUCAGAUUAAAUGUGACACAAAGGCUUUCGCAACAGUAGUAAGGAAUGAGGUUGAAUGGUAUCUUUGGGUGUUAAGAUGUCAGCCAGUUUUAGAAAUGCAAGAAAGUUUCCAGCCGCUCUCGCUCACAUUUAUUCAUUUUAUGUGCAUUUUUGCAGGGCAAGUUGCUCCUUCAACACUCUCAAAAAUGUAUUUUACUCUUCUUCCCACUACAAAAGCAGUCCAUUCCUGCUGAAUCAGACUGUUAUGGGAAAACAACUUGAAUAGUUCUGAAACAAGGGGAUGGGAAAUGUGGAAUGGAGACGGAGCAACAAAUAGAAAGAUCAAAAUUCUCCCAAUCUGGUAGUAAGAAAUCAAAAACAUCUGCUAGUGAUGUACCAAUCCCAAUCUGAGGACCAGGUUCAGGGCAAUUAAGGCAAUUUAUUGGUUUUAUAAAGAUCAUAAACCCGGUUCUUUGUUUACAUCUGUUGCUACACGUGUUGUAAAUUCUUAUUUAGUCAGUAAGUGCUCGACUGAUAAUAGAAGUUCAGCACACUGUAUAUUAAACUUAUGUUGAUAUUGCUGAGGACACACGUUCCGUUAUGGGCAGCAAAGUGACCAUUACAUAUGCCAAUAAGAUCUAGGAAUGUCGUCCUAUGUAAUAUGAUUUAUUUGUGCACACUGACCUCCUCUGCCAUACUUAGUAUUUGUAGUAAGUUUAGCAUCCAGACACAUAACAGAGCCCAGUAUAUUUUGCAUGAUUAUGUACUGUAAUGGUUGUGUUGUUGCCUAGUCCCUGUGAAUUAAAUGAGAAUGAACAUUGAAGAGAUUUUAAAGAGUUAACAGUAAAGUUUGGAUAUUGUCUUAUCUUA
Long non-coding RNA from Acanthochromis polyacanthus (spiny chromis), 1411 nucleotides. RefSeq lists it as uncharacterized. Lineage: Eukaryota; Metazoa; Chordata; Actinopteri; Pomacentridae. The transcript has 3 exons. The record is from RefSeq and is a predicted model, not a curated record.